GAUGAACGCUGGCGGCGUGCCUAAUACAUGCGAGUCGAGCGAACGGACGAGAAGCUUGCUUCUCUGAUGUUAGCGGCGGACGGGUGAGUAACACGUGGAUAACCUACCUAUAAGACUGGGAUAACUUCGGGAAACCGUAGCUAAUACCGGAUAAUAUUUUGAACCGCAUGGUUCAAAAGUGAAAGACGGUCUUGCUGUCACUUAUAGAUGGAUCCGCGCUGCAUUAGCUAGUUGGUAAGGUAACGGCUUACCAAGGCAACGAUGCAUAGCCGACCUGAGAGGGUGAUCGGCCACACUGGAACUGAGACACGGUCCAGACUCCUACGGGAGGCAGCAGUAGGGAAUCUUCCGCAAUGGGCGAAAGCCUGACGGAGCAACGCCGCGUGAGUGAUGAAGGUCUUCGGAUCGUAAAACUCUGUUAUUAGGGAAGAGCAUAUGUGUAAGUAACUGUGCACAUCUUGACGGUACCUAAUCAGAAAGCCACGGCUAACUACGUG
Molecule: ribosomal RNA, 497 nt
Filed under: uncultured bacterium
Lineage: Bacteria
Description: partial 16S ribosomal RNA
Rfam family: Bacterial small subunit ribosomal RNA
Source: RNAcentral